This 256-nucleotide ribosomal RNA is filed under the name uncultured archaeon. RNAcentral's name for it is "partial 16S ribosomal RNA". It matches the Rfam family "Bacterial small subunit ribosomal RNA", at positions 521 to 776 of the family's 1533-position model. The record is from RNAcentral.
UAAUACGUAGGUGGCAAGCGUUGUCCGGAUUUAUUGGGCGUAAAGCGAGCGCAGGUGGUUUCUUAAGUCUGAUGUGAAAGCCCACGGCUCAACCGUGGAAGGUCAUUGGAAACUGGGGAACUUGAAUGCAGAAGAGGAGAGUGGAAUUCCAUGUGUAGCGGUGAAAUGCGUAGAUAUAUGGAGGAACACCAGUGGCGAAGGCGACUCUCUGGUCUGUUAUUGACACUGAGGCUCGAAAGCGUGGGGAGCAAACAGG